Molecule: small nucleolar RNA, 201 nt
Filed under: Maudiozyma saulgeensis
Lineage: Eukaryota; Fungi; Ascomycota; Saccharomycetes; Saccharomycetales; Saccharomycetaceae
Source: RNAcentral
CAGCCUUGUGCCUCGCUCGGUCACAAUUAUCAUCUAUAUUAUGAUCUUGAGCUGGAUGAUCAAGGAGAAUUAUAUUUCUCUUUUACGAUUUAUAAUAGGCUAGAAUAAACUACAAAAGGAAUUCUUUUUUGAGUACGAGGGUAUCGAUCAAGUUGUCUCACGAUACUUUUUUUAUUAUCGUAAUUUAAGAAUACCAAAUCA